Long non-coding RNA from Etheostoma spectabile (orangethroat darter), 138 nucleotides. RefSeq lists it as uncharacterized. The record is from RefSeq and is a predicted model, not a curated record. The transcript has 3 exons. Lineage: Eukaryota; Metazoa; Chordata; Actinopteri; Perciformes; Percidae.
UGGUUUCAUGUUUUCUAUUUGUUUUCAUGGACUUCCUGUUUUAUUUUAAAAUCCACUGUUUGUCUUUAUUCACUUCACUUGUCUUCCUGGCUUUGUUUGUUUCCCGAUUACCCCGAUUUGUGAUUACCUGUGUAUAGU